UAUCUCUGUAGAGUCUGCAUAUCAAUAAGCGGAGGAAAAGAAACUAACUAGGAUUCCCUCAGUAACGGCGAGUGAAGCGGGAAGAGCUCAAAUUUGAAAUCUUCAAGGUUCUACCUUGACGAAUUGUAGUUUAAAGAAGUGUUUUCUGUUGGAGUUGAGUACAAAGUUCCUUUGGAAUAGGACAUCAUAGAGGGUGAGAAUCCCGUAUUUGACCAUUAUUUCCAGCUUUGUGAUACACUUUCAAAGAGUCGGAUUGUCUGGGAAUGCAGUCCAAAAUGGGUGGUAAAUUUCAUCUAAAGCUAAAUACUGGCGAGAGACCGAUAGCGAACAAGUACCGUGAGGGAAAGAUGAAAAGAACUUUGAAAAGAGAGUUAAACAGUACGUGAAAUUGUCAAAAGGGAAGCGUUUGACACCAGUGUUGUUUUUCCGAAAAUCAAUUACGAAUGGCUUGAUUCUGUGUUGUAUUGACCUUAUCAGCUUUCUUCACUUUUUUCGAGUCUUUCUUAAUGCACUUUUCGGUUAACAAGUCAACAUCAAUUUCUUUUGUUGUAAAAGAGUAUUCGGAAGGUGGCUUUCUUUUCGGAGAAAGUGUUUAUAGCCCUAUACUUCUACAAUCGGAGAGAUUGAGGUCUGCAGCGUAGAUCCUUCGGGGUUAGAUACACUUGUGCUAAGUUGUAGCUUUUCAUAGACAACUUGUUGACUAUGUUUAGUCAUGCGGCUUACUCGCUUAUGCUAUUUUACCUACGCUUAGGAUGUUGAAGAUGUAGCACAUCAU
This 775-nucleotide ribosomal RNA is filed under the name uncultured Neocallimastigales. RNAcentral describes it as "partial large subunit ribosomal RNA". It matches the Rfam family "Eukaryotic large subunit ribosomal RNA", at positions 24 to 643 of the family's 3401-position model. Lineage: Eukaryota; Fungi; Neocallimastigomycota; Neocallimastigomycetes; Neocallimastigales. The record is from RNAcentral.